GACGAACCGAGCGAACGUUGUUCGGAAUCACUGGGCUUAAAGGGCGCGUAGGCGGGCUGACCAGUCCGGGGUGAAAGGCCGCGGCUCAACCGCGGCACGGCCUCGGAUACUGCCGGCCUCGAGGGGGGUAGGGGCACCUGGAACUGUGGGUGGAGCGGUGAAAUGCGUUGAUAUCCACAGGAACUCCGGUGGCGAAGGCGGCACGCUGGACCUUUUCUGACGCUGAGGCGCGAAAGCCAGGGGAGCAAACGGG
Molecule: ribosomal RNA, 253 nt
Filed under: uncultured bacterium
Lineage: Bacteria
Description: partial 16S ribosomal RNA
Rfam family: Bacterial small subunit ribosomal RNA
Source: RNAcentral